CCUACGGGCGGCAGCAGUGAGGAAUCUUGGUCAAUGGGCGGGAGCCUGAACCAGCCAAGCCGCGUGAGGGAAGAAGGUACAGCGUAUCGUAAACCUCUUUUGUCAGGGAACAAAGGCGGGACUAGUCCCCGGAUGAGGGUACCUGAAGAAAAAGCAUCGGCUAACUCCGUGCCAGCCGCCGCGGUAAUACGGAGGAUGCGAGCGUUAUCCGUAUUUAUGGGGUUUAAAGGGUGCACAGGCGGCCUGUUAAGUCAGCGGUAAAAGCCCGGGGUUCAACCCCGGCGAGCCGUUGAUACUGGCGGGCUGGAGUUGGAGAGAGGUAAGCGGAAUGCGCGGUGUAGCGGUGAAAUGCGUAGAUAUCGCGCAGAACCCCGAUUGCGAAGGCAGCGUACCGGCUCCACACUGACGCUGAGGCACGAAAGCGUGGGUAGCGAACAGGAUUAGAUACCCGGGUAGUC
Molecule: ribosomal RNA, 458 nt
Filed under: uncultured bacterium
Lineage: Bacteria
Description: partial 16S ribosomal RNA
Rfam family: Bacterial small subunit ribosomal RNA
Source: RNAcentral